UACAGAGGUGGCAAGCGUUGUUCGGAAUUACUGGGCGUAAAGGGCGCGUAGGCGGCCUUCUAAGUCAGACGUGAAAUCCCCCGGCUUAACCUGGGAACUGCGUCUGAUACUGGGAGGCUUGAGUAUGGGAGAGGGAUGUAGAAUUCCAGGUGUAGCGGUGAAAUGCGUAGAUAUCUGGAGGAAUACCGGUGGCGAAGGCGGCAGCCUGGACCAUAACUGACGCUGAGGCGCGAAAGCUAGGGGAGCAAACGGG
This 253-nucleotide ribosomal RNA is filed under the name uncultured bacterium. Its description in RNAcentral is "partial 16S ribosomal RNA". It matches the Rfam family "Bacterial small subunit ribosomal RNA", at positions 524 to 776 of the family's 1533-position model. The record is from RNAcentral.